Molecule: ribosomal RNA, 349 nt
Filed under: uncultured bacterium
Lineage: Bacteria
Description: partial 16S ribosomal RNA
Rfam family: Bacterial small subunit ribosomal RNA
Source: RNAcentral
CCUACGGGGGGCAGCAGUGGGGAAUAUUGGGCAAUGGGCGCAAGCCUGACCCAGCAACGCCGCGUGAAGGAAGAAGGCCCUCGGGUGGUAAACUUCUUGUAGCAAGGACGAAACAAAUGACGGUACUGGAUGAAUAAGCCACGGCUAACGACGUGCCAGCAGCCGCGGGAAUACGUAGGGGGCAAGCGUUAUCCGGAUUUCCUGGGGGUAAAGGGCGUGGAGGCGGGACUGCCAGUCAGAUGUGAAAACCAGGGGCUCAACCCCUGGCCUGCAUUUGAAACUGUAGUUCUUGAGUGUUGGAGAGCCAGGCGUCUUUCCGUGUGUAGCGGUUAAAUGCUUAGAUAUCCGG